This 502-nucleotide non-coding RNA is filed under the name uncultured Glomus. Its description in RNAcentral is "SSU rRNA". It matches the Rfam family "Eukaryotic small subunit ribosomal RNA", at positions 569 to 1075 of the family's 1831-position model. RNAcentral also lists the same sequence under 1 other name. Lineage: Eukaryota; Fungi; Glomeromycota; Glomeromycetes; Glomerales; Glomeraceae. The record is from RNAcentral.
AGCAGCCGCGGUAAUUCCAGCUCCAAUAGCGUAUAUUAAAGUUGUUGCAGUUAAAAAGCUCGUAGUUGAAUUUCGGGAUCAAUUGAUUGGUCAUGCCUACGGUAUGUACUAGUCAUAUUGGUUCUCACCUUCUAAUGAACCUUAAUGUCAUUCACUUGAUGUUUUGGGGAAUUAGGACUGUUACCUUGAAAAAAUUAGAGUGUUUAAAGCAGGCUUACGCUUGAAUACAUUAGCAUGGAAUAAUGAAAUAGGACAUCGCAUUCUAUUUUGUUGGUUUCUAGGAUCGAUGUAAUGAUUAAUAGGGAUAGUUGGGGGCAUUAGUAUUCAAUUGUCAGAGGUGAAAUUCUUGGAUUUAUUGAAGACUAACUACUGCGAAAGCAUUUGCCAAGGAUGUUUUCAUUAAUCAAGAACGAAAGUUAGGGGAUCGAAGACGAUCAGAUACCGUCGUAGUCUUAACCAUAAACUAUGCCGACUAGGGAUCGGAUGAUGUAAUUUUAAAUGA